RNAcentral lists this long non-coding RNA (1385 nucleotides) under Amborella trichopoda. RNAcentral describes it as "long non-coding RNA (ATRI_LNC000579)". Lineage: Eukaryota; Viridiplantae; Streptophyta; Magnoliopsida; Amborellales; Amborellaceae. The record is from RNAcentral.
CCAUAGUCCAUGCAGGGGCUCAUGACCCACAGUCCCAUGACCAAAGUCUGGCUGAUAAGUUAAGGGGUCGCAACCCCAGUAUGUGGAUUUCAGGUUCUCCCCUAGAAACAGGCCACGGUCACUUAGACUUGAUGUGACCACAAUUCCUAUGGUGCAUAGGGAUAUCUCUCGUACAUGCAUACGCUUCACCCUAAAAUGUGGUUUGUUUUCUCGAAACGGUCUAUUAAUAUGCAUGUCGUGUGAUGGUAUAUGGAUGAGAUUUUGGCCCCAUCUCUAAAGGCCACCAUCAUACACAAGGGUCACAUAGUCCCUUGGCUUACUCAUUCGGGUAUAUUUUGACCUCCUCAAGGGAUGACCCAUUAAAACCUUUAUCGGUUUAUACGCUAUGCCCAAGUAAUAUAGGUUUUUCUCAACCAAUUUGUCUAGACCAUCAAGCACAGUCCAAUAUCAACAAAUAUCGUUUGCUUAGUAUGGUCCACGAGAGACCACACUCUCAUUGAAUUCAUGUUCCACUAUAUUAUUUCAUUUUACAAUCACUCCUUUAAUGGUCACACUCACCCAACAAAUUUGGUACUAAUACAUUGACAUUUGCCACAAUGAUGUCCAAAGAACCAUAUGAAAUUGUGAAUGACACCUCAAAUCUCAAGGCUCUCAUUUUAUAUUCACAUCAUCAAACUACUGAUUCAGUGGAACCUUCUCCAUCAUCAAACUAACAAUUUAGUUGAACCUUCUCCUUAAAUUUCGAUUGGUUAACAUCUGUUGUCUCCAAUAAAAUAAGCAUGAGAAAACCAUACCACUCUCAUAAAUUAACUCUCCAACUCAAGAGUAGUAAAAUGCUCUAGAGAGAGUGAGAGAGAGAGAGGCAAUGCUUAUGAAGAAACCGCACUAUCGAUAUAUUAGUUUCCAUGGAAUCUCCACUCCCAAUUUUUUGUUAUUGUUCGCACAUUUUUUUGUUAUUGUUCGCACAUGUCUCAUUAAAAUAGGCGCAACCAAACGUUACUUCAAGGACUUACAAUACUCCACCACAAUUCAAAAAAGGGAAAAUUGUUUCAUGCGGGGCCAGACCGCAUUUCUACAUAUAAGGUUCAAAAAAGUGUAAAGGGUUGUCUACAAAGAGACCAUUUACUUUUGGAUGUGGUUUUUAUAAGAUUGCAAUCUUAAACAAUCCAAUUAAAGUGCACAUCCAAAUUUUAUUAUAACAUGUAAUUUUGGUGUACAAAAUUCUUAAGAUUAUAUGAAAAUCUAUUUUCAUACCUAAUGUUUUUUAUUUAUUUUAUAUAUUCAUAAAUAUUGAUGUUGAGAUGAUCAAUUACAGCAUUUUUCAAUAUUAAAAAAACCUUGAUAGAUCUUUUAGGUGCAUCUUUAUAUAUAUAUAUAUAUAUAUA